Molecule: long non-coding RNA, 1566 nt
Filed under: Malus domestica (apple)
Lineage: Eukaryota; Viridiplantae; Streptophyta; Magnoliopsida; Rosales; Rosaceae
Description: long non-coding RNA (MDOM_LNC018434)
Source: RNAcentral
AGCGUUUAGAAGUUUUAGAAAUCAUUUUUAAUUGAAAAAAAAAGUCACGUGUCUAAUAACUAUAAAUAGGGGUCUUAAAGUCUUUACCAAAAGGAUAAAUAUGUUAUUAACAUUUUCAUUAAAAGUAGCAAAAAAAAAAAAUUAAUGUAUAGGCUUGACAAUUUUUUGCACGGCCUGUUAUACCGACAUGAAAGGACACGAAACUAAUAGGUUUUGGGUUAACCCGUUAAUGAGUCAGAUCGUUAUCAGGUCACCUGUUAAAGAGCUGGGUCAUUAUCAGGUCACCGUUAAGAUAUCGUUUGCCAGAUCUAGACAUUAAGCAUAACAAUUUCUAGCAUGACCUAUUAACCCGACACGAGAUGACACAACCUGUUAACGAAUCGGGCUAUAUGAAAUACCAUUCCCGGAUUUCACUAUUGUAAUUUAUGUUGGGAAUUGUUAUUGGCACUCUAAAAAUCUCAUUUUGCACUCUAAACUCACUAUAAUCAGAAACAAAAAUACACUUAUGAGGAGUCUAUAAUGAGAUUUUAGAGUGCUAAUAACAGUUCCCUUUACGUUUUAUGUAUUCGCGGGAUUUUAUAUUAUUUUCGUUAAUUUUAAACCUUUAGUUAACUAGUUACAAAGUUUAAAUUUUCGUAAGUAGUCAUUAAAAAUUUGUAGACCUUCUGGGAUUACUCUUAGUAUUUUCGAAUAUAGUUCAAUCCCACGAACUGAUGCGAAAUAUAUAAGCACACAAAUUAAACCCUCUUUUUAUCAAUUGUAGUAAAGUAUGUAAGUAGGGAUCGUUCUAGGCCGGGGAUUAGGAUGGAUUGCUAAAUCACUUGGAAACUGACUUGAAAACGUAAAAACAAAGUUUAAAACACUAACUAGACUCAAAGAAUGCAAAACUAUACUUUAAAACACUAAAACAAACCAAAAGACUCAAAACAGCCCCUAAACAUUCAAAACUACCUUAAACACACAAUCUGGGCAGUUUUGGGACUCUAACACAAACUUGGACGAAUUUUGGUUUUCUAAUGAACUAAAACACUUAAAAACAUAAUCUAAGACAAGUUCUAAUUAAUAUGACUCAAAGAAAUAAGAUGGGGUUUGAUUUUGGACGAAAAUAAUUAAAUUAAGACAAGAACAAAGUAAACAAAUUCUUAGACAAAUUUAAGUGAAUCAAAACAAAUUGUAAAAUGAAUUUGAAUGAAACUUAUGGGUGGAAGGCUAGUUAGGAGGUUCUUCUCCACACAUGUCACACUUGCAUACAAAACGAUUUCCAGUUGCUUUUCGAUAAGCUAUGAAUACUCAACGCCCCAAAUUAACCAUGAAUUGCACUAAUUAACCCUCAGUUUUUCCACAAGUUAUUGGGUUGGAUGAUUGCAUACGACAACCCAAAACGUUCCCUACAAGUUCCCUACAUGAAUUGCAUAAUAGAGAUACAAGCAAAAAUCAUUAAGUUCUAUGAAAAACAUAAGCAUUGACGAGGCACUCGUUACUAUGAUUUGUAUGAAACUUAUGCCAAGAAUUUACUUAACGUGAUUGUGACUAGCAACCUUCACUACUUGUGAAUAUAAGUUCAUA